AGGACGAACGCUGGCGGCGCGCUUAACACAUGCAAGUCGAGCGAGAACCGGGACUUCGGUCCUGGGGAAAGCGGCGAACGGGUGAGUAACACGUGAGUAAUCUGCCCUCAGCACCGGAAUAGCCCGGGGAAACUCGGAUUAAUGCCGGAUAGCCCGCUCUCCCUUCGGGGAGUUCGGAAAAGGUAGCUUUGGCCUCUGGCUGAGGAUGAGCUCGCGGCGGAUUAGCUUGUUGGCGGGGUAAUGGCCCACCAAGGCGACGAUCCGUAGCUGGUCUGAGAGGACGAUCAGCCACACUGGGACUGAGACACGGCCCAGACUCCUACGGGAGGCAGCAGUGGGGGAAUCUUGCGCAAUGGGCGAAAGCCUGACGCAGCGACGCCGCGUGGGGGAUGAAGGCCUUCGGGUUGUAAACCCCUUUCGGCAGGGACGAAGCGAAAGUGACGGUACCUGCAGAAGAAGCGCCGGCUAACUACGUGCCAGCAGCCGC
RNAcentral lists this ribosomal RNA (487 nucleotides) under uncultured bacterium. Its description in RNAcentral is "SSU rRNA". It matches the Rfam family "Bacterial small subunit ribosomal RNA", at positions 26 to 518 of the family's 1533-position model. The record is from RNAcentral.